Olea europaea var. sylvestris is the source of this 328-nucleotide long non-coding RNA. RefSeq lists it as uncharacterized. The transcript has 2 exons. The record is from RefSeq and is a predicted model, not a curated record. Lineage: Eukaryota; Viridiplantae; Streptophyta; Magnoliopsida; Lamiales; Oleaceae.
UUUCCACAUUGAGCUCUCUCUUCCUUUCGCCAACCCAACGUUUUUCUACACAAUUCGAUUAUAAUUUAUAACUAUAUAAAAACUAUAGAAAUUUCGCUAUAAAAUAGUUUACAAGCAGACACAGUCCGAGAAUCAUACAUCUUUUGCUCCACCGAUUCAAACUCAGUUUCAGGGUUUUGAAAAUUGAAGAAAACUAUGGAAUCAUCAGCACAGACAGAGUUUGAUUAUUUGUUUAAGCUGCUGAUGGUAGGCGAUUCUGGAGUUGGGAAAAGUAGCCUUUUGCUCAGUUUCACUACAAACACUUUCGAAGAUCUCUCUCCUACCAUUG